Molecule: small RNA, 6525 nt
Filed under: Pyricularia oryzae
Lineage: Eukaryota; Fungi; Ascomycota; Sordariomycetes; Magnaporthales; Pyriculariaceae
Description: Magnaporthe oryzae sRNA M_BR32_EuGene_00108971
Source: RNAcentral
UAAUAAGAUAGUAAAAAAAUAAAACCAAAUUUACGAAUUUUUUAGGAUUUAUAUUUAAAUUUGUAUAUAUUUAAAUAUUUUUUUAAACUAUUUCCAUAGUAAGAUUUUAUUAGUAAAGUUUUUAAAUGAACAUUUAAAUAUAAAGGAUUUCGCAAUUAAAGCCAAAAAAUUCGUAAAUUUGUUUUUAUUUUUUUGCUAUCCGCACAAUUGUUUUAUUUUUUUAUUUAUCAACUAGAAAUAUUAUAAAUCAAAUUUGAAUUUGAUAUGCGUUUUCAAAGUUUUUAUUUUAAAAACUCAUAUAAAAUUAACCAAAUAUACCACAAGCCCAAUUUUAAAUUGUAAAAAUUAUUUGAAGCUUAAUCUAUUUAAUGGGCUUUACCCUACAUUUAUUGCAUCUUAAUUCGAAUUUUAAAUAAUAAAAAUAGCAAAUAUAUAUUUACCUUAGUAUCUCGACUAUCUUUAGCGCUAAUAAUAUAUACAUUACACCUUUAAAAAGCGGCUGUCUGGUUUGAUAUACGUACAAAAUUUGACCUAUGUUGGGUAUUUGGUUGGAUUGUUAUAAUGGUUAAAAGAGCAAAAGAGAGAUGACCACUUCAGGGCCCUGUCCGCUUGUGGGUCAACCACUCUAAAUAAAACCAUUAAUUUUUAAUUGCCGUUAAAUAAAUUAUAAUAGCCUUUUGUAAAAAUAAAACAUUUAUUAAAACGCAAAAUUAAUAUCCGGGCAAAUUAAUAACAUUAUUUAUAUUAAAGUACCGAUAAUACAUUAUAACAAUUGAAUUUCCAGUAUAUUUACCAGGUUUCCCCGUCUUAUUUUAAUAUAUCCGGUUGUAUAAAAACAAAAAUAAAUUUGCAGUUAAUUAAUGUAAACGUCGCUAAUAUUUCCUUUAUAUUUUAAUUUUAAUAAAGCUAAAACAGGCUGUUAAAGCUUUUCUUUAUAUUUCGAACGCCUUCAAAAUAAAUUGCAAAACCCCUGUUGCUAAGUAUUUUUUUUUAUCAAAACUGGUUUUUAAAUUCUAAUUAUAUUGCAAUAUAAAAGUUAUUGGCAGUUAAUUGUUAAUAAAAUAAUAAGAAGAUGUUUAAAUUUAAUAUUAUAAAAAAUAAUGGGGCUGAAAAUUAGCGGCUUAAACUCUUUUGUAAAAAUAAUAUUUAUAGCGUUAUUUGCUUUUUGGCCCUAUUUUAACACAUAAUAUUUUUUUCAAUUUUAUAAUUUAAAUUCUUUUUCGAUUAUAACCUAUUUCCAUUAGAAUUUUAACGCUUAUAAGAUUGAAAAGUUAAGUCCAUCUGCUAAAGUUUUUUCGAAUUUGCAUACAAACAUUUACUUAGUGAAGUUUUUAUAUAAAAACGCACUAAUAAAACUGGUGUGUUUUAUUUCCCAAUUUUGUACACUUAUUAUAACUAAUAAUAUAUGUUAGGUAGGCGGUAUAUUAAUAUUAGCAAAAAUCACGGUACAAUGUGGGUUUUUAACCUGUAUAAGCCCCAUAAUAACAAAUUUGGUUUUAUAUUAUAUAAACCUAUUAUUUUUAUUUUGUUUUAAUUUAAAUACCGGCCGGGUAAAAAUUCCAAACUCGGUUUGCAAGCAUUUUAAUUUUAAAAAUAAAACGAAAGGUUUUUGUAAUAAUAACUUGGUUAAAUUUAAACGUUAAACUUAAUACACACUUAGCAUUUUGAGGCUUUCUUUUUAAAACUUGUAAUAAUAUGGAUUACCGUUUUUAAUAGAUUUUCUUCAUUUUUUUAAUGUUAAUAAGUAAAAAUAGUACACGUAAUUAAUAUCCGUUGGAUCUGGGAUUUCGAGUUGCGAAUUAAAUUUUAUAUUGUAUAAUUUAAAUGCCAAAACACUGGAAUGUCUAUUAUUUGAAGUAUUAAAUUAGGCACUGUUACUAUUAUAAGUUUUAAAGGGCGAAUAACAAAUUAUAUAAAUUUGGGAAAUAUUAUAUAAGGGGCUAAUACUGCGUGCGGAUUUAUUAGUGCCUAGAUACUAGCGUACGGCCCUAGGCGCUAGGUUCUGCUGAACUUAUAAACUCGCGUUAUAUAAACGCAAUAGGAACGCCGCUUAUAAAUAGGAGCUCCUAAAUCCUAAAGGUAGCAGGUUAGUCUUAAAUUUUUAAGGAUUAGUCUUUAGUCCAAAUAUUAUUACUAUAAUGCUAUCGUGGAUUAUUAUACGCUGUAUUAUAACCCUGUAUUUUAGCGGUUAGCGUUUAUUUAAUAUAUACUCAAUCCCCGGUCGUAAUAAUUUUAAUUUUUUUAUUUCGGUUAUUUAUAUAAUAACCGACAAUUAUCCAGACAUAUUGUUAAAAAUUGCUAAAUUUAUGGUCGAUUUCGACGCGGAAAAGAAUAUACGCCAAUUCGAGCGUUAUAAAACAAAUUAUAUAAAAAAGACUGUAUUUCUAACGGGAAACCAAAAAGGUUUAAAAACAAUAUUUACUUCUUAUUUAAAAAAGCGCCGAUUCCCUGAAAAUAAAAGGAAAAGGAAAUUAUAAAUCCUUAUAUUUUUAUUUGAAAAUUCAACUUAUUAUAAAAAUAACAAAAUAAUUGUUUAUUACAAAUAUAAAAAAUAUUAAAGAUAGAACUUCAAAAAUAUUGCACGAAAAAACGGAAAUUCGUUCAAAGGUUUUCAUCUUUAUCGAUUGCGUUUUGAAACCGUUAUAAUAUUUAUAUAUUGGAAUUUCCAAAACCUGAACGUACCGUUGCCGAAAUUAACUGGGAUAAUGUUAUUAAAUGGACAAAAACGUUUAUUAAAAUUAGCAAAAUAGAAACAAAUAUUUAAUUGCAUUUAAAAUAGGUUAAAUAUUAUAUAAAAUAAUUUCGUUUUAAUUUCCAUAUUUGUUUUUAAAAUUUCAUAUUCCAUAUAAAUAGGGAACCGAAUAAAAUGCUUUUUUACAGUUUUUUAACAAAUUGGUAUUUAAAUUGAAAAAACAAUUUCAUGUUUGUUAUGGUAUUAUAUCUUUUACCCGAUAUAAAACAGUGACUUGGAUAUAUAAAUAUUAAAAUAUUAUUAAGAAUAAAAAACAAAAAACGAGGCGUUAAAGGCAAUUUAACAAAACAAUUUUCCAGCAAAAAGACAAAAAGAAAGCCGAAAUAAUAAACACGGAAAAAAAAGGAAAAUUGCAAAUUACCCAAAAUAAGUUUUCCCAACGUAAAAAUAAAAACAAAAUUAAAACAGACAACGGAAAUUAAAUUAAACGCAAACCCAACGCAAAAAGGAAAUAUAAACCCGGAAAAUCCGAAAUUUUUAAUUAUUCGAAAUAUUAAAAAACUCAACUAACAAAAAAUUUAUUUAGGUAUUAUCGUUGCAAUAGUAAUACGUAUUUGGUUUGUUAAUAACCAAAGAAACUUUGGGAUUAGGUUAAUAACAAACCAAAGUUUCGGAUUGAUCCAAAUUUAAAAAGGAAACUAAAAUUUAAAUGGUUAAAAAUAAAAGUACGCAAAAUAAUUUUUUUCGAAAUUUACCAUUAUAUUUAAUAAACCUAAUAUUUUAAUUUCACCCCAACGUUCCACAUUACAACCCCGGCUUGGUUAUUAAAUUUACCUGGAAUUAUUACCAAAAUAAAUCUAAAUACAAAUAUAAAAAUCAAUUUAAUUUAUAAAGUUUUUGCGUUAUAAUAUUAAAUAUUUUUAUAAAUUUGCAAAACACCAAUUGUUAUUAAUAUAAAAUGAAACGAAAUUAUAAACCAGAAGGUUCGUUUCGUACAAUUAUAAAUUACCGAUUUUUAAAUAUUUCCCAAAAGAUAAUGGAACGUUUAUAUAUUAUUGUACAAAAAACAAAAAUAAACCUCGUAAUUUGGGAAAAGCCGCUUUUGGCAAAUAAAAAUAACAUUAUAAUUAUAUUUACGCAUUAAUAAUAAUUUAAAAUAUCAGAACCUUUUUCCAAAUAUAAAAUAGCGGUAACGUUUUUUAUAUUUAACCAGAGAACAUAUACGGGUUUAUACCGUUACCCUAGCAAAUUAAUUAUUUUUUAUUUUACCCGACGAAAAUAAAAAAAACCUUUUUUCAAACGAAAAGUUAUUAUAUUAUAAAAAUAUUAAAAUUAUAAAAAACAUUUUUAAAAAAGCAAUUAAGGGUAUAUUUACUAGUAUCGACGCGUUUUAUUUCAGUUAUUUAAUGGAAGAAAACACCUCCGCACUUACCAAUAUGUUUUUUAUUAUUAAAAGAAUCCGCUGAAUUACAAAAAUAUAUUAAAAGAAAACCUCAAAUUCAAACGUAGCCGCAAAUCUAACAAUUUUGCAAGAAACAAUUAUUUUUUUUAUACCUAAAGAAAUAAUAUUUUGCGUUUUUACGUGGAUUAUCGAAAUUUGAAUUCAGUUAUUGAAAAAGAAACAAAUACUUUUUACCCGUAAUUGCAAAAAUUAUAAUCGCGUGCAAAAUUCGCAGUAAUUUUCCAAAUUGAACUUUGAAAAUAUAUAUUAUAAAAUACGUAUUAGGAAAAAAAAUAAAUAGAAAAGUACCUUUCGCAUUCGUUUUAAUUAUUUUAAAUAUAUUAUUAUUUUCUUUUAAUUUUUGCAACGCCCCAGUAAUUUUCCAAAAUUAUAUAAUAUAAAUUUGGGAAAAUUUUGUAAAUCGUUAUUCCGUUAUAUAUUUGGACAAUAGUUUAAUUUAUUCCUUUAACAGAAAAAUCUAUAAAGAAUAUAUACGGAAAACUUUGAAAAAGGUUUGAGGGAACGUACUUUCACGCCAAAUUGUUUAAAAGCGAAUUUUAAAUGCAAAGGAAUAAAUUUUUGGAUUAUAUAAUCGACAUUAAAAAAAUAUUUAUCGGUAUACACAGAAUAACUGCUAUUUUAAAAUGGCCUGCUCCCAAAUUAUAUUAUAAUAUUUAGGUAUUUUUGGGGUUUUGCAAUUUGUAUCGUUGUUUUGUUUGUUAUUAUUUACUAAUUCGGCGUUUGUAAUUAAAUUUAUACUUAAAGUAUAACGAAAAGUAGGAAACCCCGGGGAUAUUACGCUUUUAAAACGUAAUACCAUUUUAUCAACGUCAAAAAAUUAAAAAUUGCGUUUUUGUAAAUAUUUUUAUUACCUUAUUACAACUUCUCGUUCCGUAUACGUUUAAAAGCUAAUAUUUCGAUAUACGCGUGGGGGGAAUUUGAUUAUAAUCUUUUAAAAACGGCUGGUAUUUUAUCGGUUUCCAAUUUCAAAAAUAACUUAAAAUCUAAUUAAAUUGGAAAACCACGGAUUUAAAAAUAGGUGCUAUAAUUAAAAUGUUCAAAUGUUAGGAAUAUUAUUUAUAAAAUAACGUAAUGCCAAUACUUAUAAUUACAGAUUAUCAAAGUUCACAAAGUUUUAUAAAAACACCCAGAUUUAAUAAGAAAACAGGCACGUUGGAUUAUAUUUCUUUUCUAUUAAUUUUAAAAUUAUGUACCGCGCAGGGAAACAAAAUUUCAUUAAGGGGCCGUCGAGGCGAUCUUAUUAUAAAAUAUUUAUUAUUAUAAAUGGCCUUCUACCCCUUUUGCAAAAGAAUUGUUAACACGGGGUUAAAAUAAAGGAAGAUUUAGCAAUUUAAAUAAGCUAUUGUGCCUUUUUCGCGUCGACUAUAUGCGCGAGUAUAUUAUAUUACCCGCGGAAAAACGAAGGAUAUAAUAAAAGUAAAACCCUUUGUUAUACAUUUGUAAAACCCACUAACGAUUUGCAAUAAAAUAAUAAAAGGUUAUAACAAUUUCGAAAGAAUAUACAAAAUAAUUAAAUUGUAACCCCAAGUAAUAUUUUUGGUUACAAAUUGAAGUUUUACGUACCCAAAAUUAACAGAGUACAAAAAAGCUUUUACAAUUUUAUUAUAAUAAUUUAUAUAUUGGAUAUUAAAAGAUUGCCAAAACUUCAAAAUUAUUUUACACAAUUACUAUUGGAAACAAAUAAGAAAUAAUGUAAAUUGGUACUUAAAAUUGUAUAGUAUUUAUAUAAUAGCAAAACCGAUUAAAUACCGCCAAUAUGGUAUAUUAAAGUUAUUACACCAUCUAAUAAAACCUGGGACGAAAUAAUUGUAAAUAUUAUUGUUAAAUGAUUCGAUAUAAAAUAUACUUUUACUAAGGUAAGCAUUAUUUUAAUUAUAAUAAAUAAAUUAAUUAAUAUGGCGCGGUUUUUAUUUAUUACAAACAAUAUAAAUAAUUCCGAAUGUAUUUAGUUUUUCACCAAAGAAAUUAAAUGCCGUGAUGGACUUUUAUUAGGUAUUAUUACAAAUAGGAAUUAAUAAUCUUCAAAUAUAUUUUGGAAAAUAUUAUAUUACAAAUAAAUAUUUAAAAACGUAUAUUUAUAAUAUCCCAUCUACAAAUAAACGGGGAUACCAGAAACUUUAUUUGGAUUAUAAAAUAAUAUUUUAAAAGUCACGUCAAAAAGUAAUAAAGUUGUAUAACGUGUAAAAAUAAGCGUAUAAUCUGGUUUAACCAAUAUAAAUUAUCAAAGUACCUAAUACGUUUCCAAUACAAUUUUUUAAAUUAUAAAAGUCCUUUUAAAUUAUAAAUAUCCAGGAACGCAAACAAUUAUCAAAUUAUAUUUUGCCCAAAAUUUAAAAUCGAAGAGAAUUGGGACGUAAAAAGAAUUAAAAAU